This 538-nucleotide ribosomal RNA is filed under the name uncultured archaeon. Its description in RNAcentral is "bacterial SSU rRNA". It matches the Rfam family "Archaeal small subunit ribosomal RNA", at positions 459 to 997 of the family's 1478-position model. The record is from RNAcentral.
CAGCCGCCGCGGUAACACCGGCGGCCGAGUGGUGAUCGUGAUUAUUGGGUCUAAGGGUCCGUAGCCGGUUGGUCAGUCCUCCGGGAAAUCUGAUAGCUCGAACUAUUAGGCUUUCGGGGGAUACUGCCAGACUUGGAACCGGGAGAGGUAAGAGGUACUACAGGGGUAGGAGUGAAAUCUUGUAAUCCCUGUGGGACCACCUGUGGCGAAGGCGUCUUACCAGAACGGGUUCGACGGUGAGGGACGAAAGCUGGGGGCACGAACCGGAUUAGAUACCCGGGUAGUCCCAGCCGUAAACGAUGCUCGCUAGGUGUCAGGCAUGGCGCGACCGUGUCUGGUGCCGCAGGGAAGCCGUGAAGCGAGCCACCUGGGAAGUACGGCCGCAAGGCUGAAACUUAAAGGAAUUGGCGGGGGAGCACAACAACGGGUGGAGCCCUGCGGUUUAAUUGGACUCAACGCCGGACAACUCACCGGGGGCGACAGCAAUAUGUAGGCCAAGCUGAAGACUUUGCCUGAAUCGCUGAGAGGAGGUGCAUGG